Molecule: long non-coding RNA, 3719 nt
Filed under: Mytilus galloprovincialis (Mediterranean mussel)
Lineage: Eukaryota; Metazoa; Mollusca; Bivalvia; Mytilida; Mytilidae
Source: RNAcentral
GCAAAGGUCAAAAUCUAGAACGUCAUAUUAACCUAUGACCUUGACCUCAAUUUCAAGGUCACAAACCAAGGACCUUAAAUCAAAAGACCCUAGGUCUUUAAUAUGUUUGGUUUAUUAGUAAUAUCACUUUACGCGUAAUUCUAAAUGUAAGAUGGGCAAAAAAACUCCAUUUAUUGUCUGCGCACCCUUUCAAUCAAAAUAUACAAGUAAGGACAUGUCGCAACUAACAAUUUAUGAAAAAUUAUUUGUCGAUAUGUCAUAAGGUAUUUGAAAAUAAAUGAAAAUAAGCCAAAAUCAAAAUUUAGAAUAUGACCUUGACCUUUGACCUUGACCUCAUUUUUAUUAUUUUCGACCAAGGACCCCAAAUCUAAAGACCCUAUGUCUUUAUCACUUAUGGUUUACCAUUUAGAAAUGCAUAUCACUUAAUUUAAGGGAAAAGGGGGAAUAACUCUCAUAUGGAGUCUCCGUAAAGCUUCGGUCCAAAUGAAUAUCCUAAUCCUGAAGAUGUAACGAGCAAUUUGGUAAAAUAAAUUUGUCGUAAUCUUUAACGGUUGCGAAGGAGUAGUGGCCACAAGAAAAACAGUGUUUGGGGAGAUAACUCUUACAACGUAAAGUAUUUUGUUACGCAGUUGUAAAUUUUUAAAGCGUAUAAACUAUACGAUACCAUAUUCCAAAUAUCUAAGCGACAUCUUUUGAAACAUCAAUAAUACGCAAGAAAAAAAAUUAGGCGGAAGAAAAAAAAAAAAAAAAUAAUAAUAAUAAUAAUUAAAAACCAAUUGUUCAGAGAACAAUUGUAGGUCUUUCCACUAGAAAAGAUCUUUUUUGAUAUUGAAAUAUUAAAAAUCAGUUUAAAAUGUUAGUUCCUAUGGCUGUAUGAUGUAUUUAUAUGAAUUUAAAGCAAAGGUCAAAAUCUAGAACGUCAUAUUAACCUAUGACCUUGACCUCAAUUUCAAGUUCACAAACCAAGGACCUUAAAUCAAAAGACCCAAGGUCUUUAAUAUGUUUGGUUUAUUAGUAAUAUCACUUUACGCGUAAUUCUAAAUGUAAGAUGGGCAAAAACUCCUAUUUAUUGUCUGCGCACCCUUUCAAUCAAAAUAUACAAGUAAGGACAUGUCGCAACUAACAAUUUAUGAAAAAUUAUUUGUCGAUAUGUCAUAAGGUAUUUGAAAAUAAAUGAAAAUAAGCCAAAAUCAAAAUUUAGAAUAUGACCUUGACCUUUGACCUUGACCUCAUUUUUAUUAUUUUCGACCAAGGACCCCAAAUCUAAAGACCCUAUGUCUUUAUCACUUAUGGUUUACCAUUUAGAAAUGCAUAUCACUUAAUUUAAGGGAAAAGGGGGAAUAACUCUCAUAUGGAGUCUCCGUAAAGCUUCGGUCCAAAUGAAUAUCCUAAUCCUGAAGAUGUAACGAGCAAUUUGGUAAAAUAAAUUUGUCGUAAUCUUUAACGGUUGCGAAGGAGUAGUGGCCACAAGAAAAACAGUGUUUGGGGAGAUAACUCUUACAACGUAAAGUAUUUUGUUACACAGUUGUAAAUUUUUAAAGCGUAUAAACUAUACGAUACCAUAUUCCAAAUAUCUAAGCGACAUCUUUUGAAACAUCAAUAAUACGCAAGAAAAAAAAUUAGGCGGAAGAAAAAAAAAAAAAAAUAAUAAUAAUUAAAAACCAAUUGUUCAGAGAACAAUUGAAGGUCUUUCCACUAAUAAAGAUCUAUUUUGAUAUUGAAAUAUGAAAAAUCAGUUUAAAAUGUUAGUUCCUAUGGCUUUAUGAUGUAUUAAUAUGAAUUUAAAGCAAAGGUCAAAAUCUAGAACGUCCUAUUAACCUAUGACCUUGACCUCAAUUUCAAGGUCACAAACCAAGGACCUUAAAUCAAAAGACCCUAGGUCUUUAAUAUGUUUUGUUAAUGAGUAAUAUCACUUUACGCAUAAUUCUAAAUGUAAGAUGGGCAAAAACUCCCAUUUAUUGUCUGCGCACCCUUUCAACCAAAAUAUACAAGUAAGAACAUGUCGCAACUAACAAUUUAUGAAAAAAUUAUUUGUCGAAUAUGUCAUACGGUAUUUGAAAAUAAGUGAAAAUAAGCCAAAAUCAAAAUUUAGAAUAUGACCUUGACCUUUGACCUUGACCUUAUUUUCAUUUUUUUGGGACCAAGGACCUCAAAUCUAAAGACCCUAGGUCUCUAUCACUUAUGGUUUACCAUUUAGAAAUGCAUAUCACUUAAUUUAAUGGAAAAGGGGGAAUAACUCUCAUAUGGAGUUUCCGGAUAGCUUCAGUUAAAAUUAAAAUCCUAAUCCUGAAGAUGUAACGAGCAAUUUGGUAAAAUAAAUUUGUCGUAAUCUUUUACGGUUGCGAAGGAGUAGUGGCCACAAGAAAAACAGUGUUUGGGGAGAUAACUCUUACAACGUAAAGUAUUUGUUUACGCAGUUGUCAGUUUUUAAAGCGCAUACACUUUACGAUAUCAUAUUCCAAAUAUCUAAGCGACAUCUUUUGAAACAUCAAUAUUACGAAAGAAAAAAAUUAGGCGGAAGAAAAAAAAUAAUAAUAAUAAUCAGAACAAAACCUAUAGGUCUUUCAACCGAAAGGUUGAAAGACCUAAUAAUCAGAACAAAUUCAAUAGGUCUUUCCACCGAAAGGUGGAAAGACCUAAUAAUAAUCAGAACAAAUUCAAUAGGUCUUUCCACGGAAAGGUGGAAAGACCUAAUUAAAAACCAAUUGUUCAGAGAACAAUUGUAGGUCUUUCCACUAGUAAAGAUCUAUUUUGAUAUUGAAAUAUUAAAAAUCAGUUUAAAAUGUUAGUUCCUAUGGCUUUAUGAUGUAUUUAUAUGAAUUUAAAGCAAAGGUCAAAAUAUAGAACGUCAUAUCAACCUAUGACCUUGACCUCAAUUUCAAGUUCACAAACCAAGGACCUUAAAUCAAAAGACCCAAGGUCUUUAAUAUGUUUGGUUUAUUAGUAAUAUCACUUUACGCGUAAUUCUAAAUGUAAGAUGGGCAAAAACUCCCAUUUAUUGUCUGCGCACCCUUUCAAUCAAAAUAUACAAGUAAGGACAUGUCGCAACUAACAAUUUAUGAAAAAUUAUUUGUCGAUAUGUCAUAAGGUAUUUGAAAAUAAAUGAAAAUAAGCCAAAAUCAAAAUUUAGAAUAUGACCUUGACCUUUGACCUUGACCUCAUUUUUAUUAUUUUCGACCAAGGACCCCAAAUCUAAAGACCCUAUGUCUUUAUCACUUAUGGUUUACCAUUUAGAAAUGCAUAUCACUUAAUUAAAUGGAAAAGGGGGAAUAACUCUCAUAUGGAGUCUCCGUAAAGCUUUGGUCCAAAUGAAUAUCCUAAUCCUGAAGAUGUAACGAGCAAUUUGGUAAAAUAAAUUUGUCGUAAUCUUUAACGGUUGCGAAGGAGUAGUGGCCACAAGAAAAACAGUGUUUGGGGAGAUAACUCUUACAACGUAAAGUAUUUUGUUACACAGUUGUAAAGUUUUAAAGCGUAUAAACUAUACGAUACCAUAUUCCAAAUAUCUAAGCGACAUCUUUUGAAACAUCAAUAAUACGCAAGAAAAAAAAUUAGGCGGAAGAAAAAAAAAAAAAAAUAAUAAUAAUAAUAAUAAUAAUCAGAACAAAUUCAAUAGGUCUUUCCACGGAAAGGUGGAAAGACCUAAUAAUAAUAAUCAGAACAAAUACAAUAGGUCUUUCCACGGAAAAGUGGAAAGACCUAAUAAUAAUAAUAAUCAGAAG